RNAcentral lists this ribosomal RNA (254 nucleotides) under uncultured bacterium. Its description in RNAcentral is "partial 16S ribosomal RNA". It matches the Rfam family "Bacterial small subunit ribosomal RNA", at positions 524 to 776 of the family's 1533-position model. The record is from RNAcentral.
UACGUAGGGUGCGAGCGUUGUCCGGAAUUAUUGGGCGUAAAGAGCUCGUAGGCGGUGUGUCACGUCGAUCGGGAAAACUUUCAGCUUAACUGGGAGCUUGCGGUCGAUACGGGCAUCACUGGAGUUCGGCAGGGGAGACUGGAAUUCAAGGUGUAGCGGUGAAAUGCGCAGAUAUCUUGAGGAACACCGGUGGCGAAGGCGGGUCUCUGGGCCGAUACUGACGCUGAGGAGCGAAAGCGUGGGGAGCAAACGGG